GUAAUAGCUCACUGGUCGAGUCGGCCUGCGCGGAAGAUGUAACGGGGCUAAACCAUGCACCGAAGCUGCGGCAGCGACACUGUGUGUUGUUGGGUAGGGGAGCGUUCUGUAAGCCUGCGAAGGUGGCCUGUGAGGGUUGCUGGAGGUAUCAGAAGUGCGAAUGCUGACAUAAGUAACGAUAAAGCGGGUGAAAAGCCCGCUCGCCGGAAGACCAAGGGUUCCUGUCCAACGUUAAUCGGGGCAGGGUGAGUCGACCCCUAAGGCGAGGCCGAAAGGCGUAGUCGAUGGGAAACGGGUUAAUAUUCCCGUACUUGGUGUUACUGCGAAGGGGGGACGGAGAAGGCUAUGUUGGCCGGGCGACGGUUGUCCCGGUUUAAGCGUGUAGGUGUGUGUUCCAGGUAAAUCCGGUUCACUUUAACACUGAGGCGUGACGACGAGGCACUACGGUGCUGAAGCAACAAAUGCCCUGCUUCCAGGAAAAGCCUCUAAGCAUCAGGUAACAUCAAAUC
This 509-nucleotide ribosomal RNA is filed under the name Salmonella enterica subsp. enterica. RNAcentral describes it as "partial 23S ribosomal RNA". It matches the Rfam family "Bacterial large subunit ribosomal RNA", at positions 1134 to 1643 of the family's 2925-position model. RNAcentral also lists the same sequence under 3 other names. The record is from RNAcentral. Lineage: Bacteria; Pseudomonadati; Pseudomonadota; Gammaproteobacteria; Enterobacterales; Enterobacteriaceae.